Molecule: ribosomal RNA, 497 nt
Filed under: uncultured bacterium
Lineage: Bacteria
Description: partial 16S ribosomal RNA
Rfam family: Bacterial small subunit ribosomal RNA
Source: RNAcentral
GCUUCCCUCUUUCUUCGUGCCUAAUACAUGCAAGUCGAGCGAACGGACGAGAAGCUUGCUUCUCUGAUGUUAGCGGCGGACGGGUGAGUAACACGUGGAUAACCUACCUAUAAGACUGGGAUAACUUCGGGAAACCGGAGCUAAUACCGGAUGAUAUUUUGAACCGCAUGGUUCAAAAGUGAAAGACGGUCUUGCUGUCACUUAUAGAUGGAUCCGCGCUGCAUUAGCUAGUUGGUAAGGUAACGGCUUACCAAGGCAACGAUGCAUAGCCGACCUGAGAGGGUGAUCGGCCACACUGGAACUGAGACACGGUCCAGACUCCUACGGGAGGCAGCAGUAGGGAAUCUUCCGCAAUGGGCGAAAGCCUGACGGAGCAACGCCGCGUGAGUGAUGAAGGUCUUCGGAUCGUAAAACUCUGUUAUUAGGGAAGAACAUAUGUGUAAGUAACUGUGCACAUCUUGACGGUACCUAAUCAGAAAGCCACGGCUAACUACGUG